RNAcentral lists this long non-coding RNA (1207 nucleotides) under Bos indicus x Bos taurus (hybrid cattle). RNAcentral's name for it is "lncRNA (ENSBIXG00005020295.1)". The record is from RNAcentral. Lineage: Eukaryota; Metazoa; Chordata; Mammalia; Artiodactyla; Bovidae.
GAGGGGUUCCUCCCUUCACCCUUUGAAGUGGGUGGGGGGCCGGACGCCCGCCACGCCUGAGUGCGGAGGGCGAGGGCGGGAGCAAGGCCACCACAAAGACUGCGAUUGUUAGCCGGCGGCGCACAGUGGGCGGGGCUCGGGGGCCAGCAUGGAAAUAAGGCUGCAGCCCCUCUCCCGGCUCCCGCCCCUUCUCCUUCCUCCCCGGCUCCAGCUGGUCCAGCUCCACAAGGAGGGACCGGUGGAGGAGCGCCCAGCAGGCCCAGAGGUGCACCUCUCCUGCUGGGUCAUCGGGCUGUGCAUGCCGAGGGUGGUGGUCAGGAGGCCAGGUGAGUGGCGCACCUGGACAGUCAGGCACAGUGGAGGCCAGUGCAGAGUCCCAGGCAGGGCACGGUGUGAGGGGUGCUGGCCGAAGCCUGGCCAGUGGGAGGAAGGGGCCUUUUGUUCCCCCGGCGCCCCUGCCCGACCUCCCUGAGGUUUCAGGUGCCUCCUUGGUCACCCAGCCACUCUCCCCUGCUCUGGGCUGGCUGCCCUCCUCCUGCCAGCUGCAUCCUGGCAGCGGAGCAGCCCCUGUUGUCCCCAGGCCCAGCCCAGGUCCCAGAAGGCGUGUUGUGGGGAGGGGUCCCAGGCUGUCCCCCACUCACCCCGCCUAGGGGUCUAGUGUCAGCAAAGUGCCCCUGGGAAGAUGAGGGUGAGGGCUUGCUGCCUCUGCUGCCCUCAAGAAAGCACAGACCAAGUCGGGACAGGAGCAGCCUGGGGGCUAGUCUCCCUGGGGUUCCUCCAGGGCCUGCAGAGCCUCCACACCAGCCCUGAGCCCCUUCUGCCUGGCUGCAGGGGCCCAGCCCACCAGGGCAUGCAGGACCCCAUGGGAGCAGGAUCCCCUGGACUAGAAUGCCUGGGCCUCCUUGGAGAGCUGGGAGCAGGGACUGAUUUCCUUGGCCCUGAGGCCUCCCUCCAUCAGACCCCUGCCCCACUUGGCUGUCUCCUCAGACAGGCAGGGCGAUGGUGGGAUGAUGAGCCCAGCCCAGGGCCCAGGUUGUCUCAAGUCUGCACUGGUAGGGGCUCUGCCUGUCCCCACCGCCUCUGUCCACAGCCUGGGAGAGGGGCGGGGAGGGGAAGCUGGUCAUCAGUCAUCGUGUUACUCAGAGCCUUCAGCCACCCGUGGGCUGGUGUGGAGUCCAGGAGUCUGUUUGUGUGCAUUUCAGGGUGA